This is a long non-coding RNA of Osmerus eperlanus (European smelt), 514 nucleotides long. RefSeq lists it as uncharacterized. The transcript has 2 exons. Lineage: Eukaryota; Metazoa; Chordata; Actinopteri; Osmeriformes; Osmeridae. The record is from RefSeq and is a predicted model, not a curated record.
CUAUAGACCUAGAAAAGUGAAAUACACAGCCAAGGUGACAGAAAUAAAGGUUCAUCGGUUGUCCUUCACAUUCACACACUGUUGUCUUUAUACUUAACAGAUCAUAUACUGGACUGGGGGUCAGAUGGCUGAGCGGAUAGGGAGUCGGGCUAUUAAUCAGGUUGUUGGUUCGAUUCCCGGCCAUGCAAAAUGACGUUGUGUCCUUGGGCAAGGCACUUCACCCUACUUGCCUCGGGGAGAAUGUCCCUGUACUUACUGAUGGCAGGCAGGUAGAGGAGCUGUGAUUGCUGCAGGGGCACACCUGUGAUCUGUUCCUUGGUCCUUAAUAAGCUGUGCCCUAACAAGCUGGGUCUCUCCAUUACUAGCAGGAACAUCAUCACUGUUUGCUUUUUAGUUUGUAAUGAUUCUCUUCGCUCUACACUUGCACUGAUCCCACACCCAUUCCCUACAUUACUAAUUUACCAACCGUUUCUUUGUAAGCACUUUUUAUUAAAUAAAUACAUUGUUAUCCUUA